This 292-nucleotide ribosomal RNA is filed under the name uncultured bacterium. RNAcentral describes it as "partial 16S ribosomal RNA". It matches the Rfam family "Bacterial small subunit ribosomal RNA", at positions 505 to 796 of the family's 1533-position model. The record is from RNAcentral.
GUGCCAGCCGCCGCGGUAAUACGUAGGGGGCAAGCGUUGUCCGGAUUUAUUGGGCGUAAAGAGCGUGUAGGCGGCUUGGUAGGUCCGCUGUGAAAACUCGAGGCUCAACCUCGAGAUGUCGGCGGAAACCACUUGGCUAGAGUCCGGAAGAGGAGAGUGGAAUUCCCGGUGUAGCGGUGAAAUGCGCAGAUAUCGGGAAGAACACCUAUGGCGAAGGCAGCUCUCUGGGACGGUACUGACGCUGAGACGCGAAAGCGUGGGGAGCGAACAGGAUUAGAUACCCUGGUAGUCC